This 254-nucleotide ribosomal RNA is filed under the name uncultured bacterium. RNAcentral's name for it is "partial 16S ribosomal RNA". It matches the Rfam family "Bacterial small subunit ribosomal RNA", at positions 524 to 776 of the family's 1533-position model. The record is from RNAcentral.
UACAGAGGGUGCGAGCGUUGUUCGGAAUUACUGGGCGUAAAGCGCGCGCAGGCGGCCCUUUAAGUCUGUCGGUCAAACGCCGGGGCUCAACCCCGUGCUCGCCGCGGAUACUGGAGGGCUGGAGACAGGUAGAGGCAGGCGGAAUUCCGGGUGUAGCGGUGGAAUGCGUAGAGAUCCGGAAGAACACCAGAGGCGAAGGCGGCAUCCUGGACCAUUACUGACGCUGAGGCGCGAAAGCUAGGGGAGCAAACGGG